Molecule: small nuclear RNA, 128 nt
Filed under: Myotis davidii
Lineage: Eukaryota; Metazoa; Chordata; Mammalia; Chiroptera; Vespertilionidae
Description: U2 spliceosomal RNA
Rfam family: U2 spliceosomal RNA
About the family: U2 is a small nuclear RNA (snRNA) component of the spliceosome (involved in pre-mRNA splicing). Complementary binding between U2 snRNA (in an area lying towards the 5' end but 3' to hairpin I) and the branchpoint sequence (BPS) of the intron results the bulging out of an unpaired adenosine, on the BPS, which initiates a nucleophilic attack at the intronic 5' splice site, thus starting the first of two transesterification reactions that mediate splicing.
Source: Rfam by way of RNAcentral
AUCGCUUCUCGGCCUUUUGGCUAAGAUCAAGUGUAGUAUCUGUUCUUAUCAGUUUAAUAUAAUAAUAGAGUGAAUGGUGUAUACACAUAUACUGUUGAUUGAAUGUAGUUUUUGGCAGGUGUGCAUAU